UACGUAGGGGGCAAGCGUUGUCCGGAUUUAUUGGGCGUAAAGAGCGUGUAGGCGGCCAGACAGGUCAGCUGUGAAAACUCGAGGCUCAACCUCGAGACGUCGGUUGAAACCAUCUGGCUAGAGUCCGGAAGAGGAGAAUGGAAUUCCCGGUGUAGCGGUGAAAUGCGCAGAUAUCGGGAAGAACACCCGUGGCGAAGGCGGUUCUCUGGGACGGUACUGACGCUGAGACGCGAAAGCGUGGGGAGCGAACAGG
RNAcentral lists this ribosomal RNA (253 nucleotides) under uncultured bacterium. Its description in RNAcentral is "partial 16S ribosomal RNA". It matches the Rfam family "Bacterial small subunit ribosomal RNA", at positions 524 to 776 of the family's 1533-position model. The record is from RNAcentral.